ACUCAAAGGAAUUGACGGGGGCCCGCACAAGCGGUGGAGCAUGUGGUUCAAUUCGACGCAACGCGAAGAACCUUACCCAGGCUUGAACAGCGAGUGACAACCUCCGAAAGGGGGCUUCCGCAAGGACACUCGUAGAGGUGCUGCAUGGCUGUCGUCAGCUCGUGUCGUGAGAUGUUGGGUUAAGUCCCGCAACGAGCGCAACCCUUGUCUGCUGUUGCCAUCACGUUAUGGUGGGCACUCUGCAGAGACUGCCGGUGAUAAACCGGAGGAAGGUGGGGAUGACGUCAAGUCAGCAUGGCCUUUAUGUCUGGGGCUACACACGUGCUACAAUGGCCGACACAAACCGUCGCGAGCCCGCGAGGGGGAGCUAAUCGGAGAAAGUCGGUCUCAGUUCGGAUCGUAGGCUGCAACUCGCCUGCGUGAAGUUGGAAUCGCUAGUAAUCGCGGAUCAGCACGCCGCGGUGAAUACGUUCCCGGGCCUUGCACACACCGCCCGU
Molecule: ribosomal RNA, 497 nt
Filed under: uncultured bacterium
Lineage: Bacteria
Description: partial 16S ribosomal RNA
Rfam family: Bacterial small subunit ribosomal RNA
Source: RNAcentral